GGUAAUCAUUACAAUUUAAGAUCUGUAAGUUUGGGUGACAAAUAUUGAAGAACUCUUGAAUAAGGCUUGCCAUCUCGAUACUGGAUCAAUACUAUUCUAUUAUAAUAUCGGUAUGUGGUUCGGUAUGGUACGAGAUGGAAUAUUGAGUAUCGGUACGGUAUGAGGCACUGUCUCGGUACAGUAUGAUACUAGGUCUGCCGGGCAGUUCGGCCUAUCUGCCGGGCAGUUCGGCCUAGCACGGAAUUUCAUGAUCUUGAAUCUUCCCCCAACCUUUAUUUGGCUGCACUCAAUUGUUACUUGAUUACUGCAAUUCCCUGC
This 318-nucleotide long non-coding RNA is filed under the name Elaeis guineensis (African oil palm). Its description in RNAcentral is "long non-coding RNA (EGUI_LNC030104)". Lineage: Eukaryota; Viridiplantae; Streptophyta; Magnoliopsida; Arecales; Arecaceae. The record is from RNAcentral.